This is a long non-coding RNA of Oncorhynchus keta (chum salmon), 730 nucleotides long. RefSeq lists it as uncharacterized. The transcript has 3 exons. The record is from RefSeq and is a predicted model, not a curated record. NCBI's taxonomy places the organism in Eukaryota, Metazoa, Chordata, Actinopteri, Salmoniformes, Salmonidae.
CUCCAUUAAGGUUAGGUCUCUCUACCCUCUUCUCCUUUUCAUCCCUCCAUUAAGGUGAGGUCUCUCUACCCUCUUCUCCUUUUCAUCCCUCUACCCCUCCAUUAAGGUUAGGUCUCUCUACCCUCUUCUCCUUUUCAUCCCUCUACCCCUCCAUUAAGGUUAGGUCUCUCUACCCUCCUCUUCUCCUUUUCAUCCCUCUAUCCCUCCAUUAAGGUUAGGUCUCUCUACCCUCCUCUCCUUUUCAUCCCUCUACCCCUCCAUUAAGGUUAGGUCUCUCUACCCUCUUCUCCUUUUCAUCCCUCUAUCCCUCCAUUAAGGUUAGGUCUCUCUACCCUCUUCUCCUUUUCAUCCCUCUAUCCCUCCAUUAAGGUUAGGUCUCUCUACCCUCUUCUCCUUUUCAUCCCUCUAUCCCUCCAUUAAGGUUAGGUCUCUCUACCCUCCUCUUCUCCUUUUCAUCCCUCUAUCCCUCCAUUAAGGUUAGGUCUCUCUACCCUCUUCUCCUUUUCAUCCCUCUAUCCCUCCAUUAAGGUUAGGUCUCUCUACCCUCUUCUCCUUUUCAUCCCUCUACCCCUCCUUUAAGGUUAGGUCUCUCUACCCUCUUCUCCUUUUCAUCCCUCUACCCCUCCUUUAAGGUUAGGUCUCUACACUUUUUUCCCCCCUUCACAAAGAAUGCACUCAAUCUCUCCCCCUCAUGGCUGGAGUUGUGGGUAAUGUAGUUGUUGCAUCUGUU